ACAUUUUACAUGUGUAUAAUUUAUUAUAUAAAUACAAAACAUUUUCAAUAACAGGAACUUGUGCAAAACACUGUUUAAUAGCGCAUAGAUACAUACACACACACAUAUAUAUAUAUAUAUAUAUAUGUUUAUGUUUAUAUAUACACACAUAUAAUGGGGUAUGAUAUGCCUUUAACCCUUGAAGAGCAACUAGAGAAAAAAGAAAUAAGAUCAUCGUCAGAUCAAAAGACUCCUUACAAUAUAAAUAAACAUGUCAUAUUAACCAUUUACUUUUUGUUAAUAGUAUUAACAAAUCGUUUGUUUUUCGGUUGGUCCAGUUUAUCUAAUUUAUUAUUUCGUGAUAAAGCGUAUGAAUGGCUGUGUACAAUAACAGAAAUUCAAGAGCAACAAAACAAUAAGCAACGAUAUACAUGUUCAGUGCAAAAUGAUGCAGUACAACGAAUUUUUGUGUAUGGAUCAAUGGCAUAUUUUACAUGUUCUUUUUUAAAUGGUUUAAUUGUUGAUUAUUUUGGGUCACGAAUUAGUAUGUUGAUAGGACAUAGUUUAAAUUUAUUAGGAUGGGUACUUUUAUUACUAUCAACUAAAGAUUUUGAUUGUUUUAUAAUUGCAGGAGUAUUGAUAGCAUCUAGUAUCGAUUUGGGCUCAUUUGCUACUUUAAAUGUUGCAGGUUUAUACCCAGGUAAUGAAAAUUUAAUUGUUAAUAUUAUAUCUGGUGCUGGAUCCUUAUCUACUGGUACUAUGGUAGUAUUGGAUUUAAUAGUAAAACAUUGGGAAUUCUCAUUUAAAACUUUUAUGUUAAUUUAUAUAAGUGUAACUGUUGGAAUUUUUUUUAUUUUAACCUUAUUUACAUUUCCUAAAACAAGAUAUUUUAGGCAGUACGAAUUUGAUGAUUAUUAUGAAAAUGAGAAUGGAGCGCUAAAAGAUAUGAACAACAUUCAGGAGAUUAAAUCCAAUUUAAGCAUUUCUAAAACAUUAAGUUAUACAAAAAAUGUUAAUAAAUCUAUGAGUUAUGAAAUGAAUAAAAUCAAUAAAUCAUAUUCAAAAGACUUAGAAAUAAAUGAUAACAAAAAAAUAAAUGAGUAUAAUGAAAAUUAUGAUAAAAGUAAAAAGAAUAAAUUUAUACUUUUUUUUCAAUCAAAUACUUUUAAAGAUUUAUGUAAAAUAUGUUUUUGUGCACAUUUUUUAUGUUUACUCAUAUAUGGACCACUAAAUGCAAUAUACAAUACUUUUUAUUACAAUAUAGUUGAAAAUUUGCUAUCAAAAGAAAAAAACGAUUUAUUCGGUUAUUUGUUGCCAUUUUCUUUUAUUCCAUGUGUAUUAUUAGGAAAUAUAACAGAUAAAUUUGGUGUAAUGCUUAUGCUUUCCUAUGAAUUAUUUUUUGCUGCAUCUAUGUAUUUAUGUAGUUAUAUCAAAAAUGAAUUUUUUCAAUGGAUGUCUGUUAUAUCGAGCAUGUUAUACGCUGCAUGUGCAAAUGGACAGUUAUGGACAUUUGUUUCUUACACAUUUUGUUCAAAAUAUCAUUCUACUCUAAUUGGUUUGUUAAAUUUAGUUAGUGGUGUAGCAUCCUUAACUCGUAAUCUAUUCUUGAAGUGGGCAACAUAUACAAACCAAGAUUUUACAUAUAUUAACAUGGUUAUUUUAAGUUUAAUUGGAAUUAAUGUUGUUGUAACGAUUGCACUUGGCAUUAUCAGAAAAACAAAGGGAUGUAAGGUUAACUACGGUGAUGAAAGUGAAUCCGAAAGGUAAAUACAAAUGCCUAUUUCCAUACGUGUGUUUUGUGGACUCAUGUUUAUACACACUUGUAGAUAUAAGCAUAUAUAUGCAAAUAUAAAAAAGUUGGUUUGACUGACGUUUAUACAUCAUACGAUUCAGCAUUUAUAUAUAUAUAUAUAUAUAU
Molecule: long non-coding RNA, 1897 nt
Organism: Piliocolobus tephrosceles (Ugandan red Colobus)
Lineage: Eukaryota; Metazoa; Chordata; Mammalia; Primates; Cercopithecidae
Source: Ensembl